This is a long non-coding RNA of Labrus mixtus (cuckoo wrasse), 422 nucleotides long. RefSeq lists it as uncharacterized. NCBI's taxonomy places the organism in Eukaryota, Metazoa, Chordata, Actinopteri, Labriformes, Labridae. The record is from RefSeq and is a predicted model, not a curated record. The transcript is spliced from 3 exons.
UUCUUGAUUUAAUCUCACUGCUAAAUCAAAUCUGGGAUCUGGAACAGGACGAAAAAAGAAGAGGCCAAGAUAGUCUUCGAAGCAGAUUUUUUGUUCUACACGGACAAAUGUCCAAUACGACCUAUGAGCUGCAAAGCAAAAAUGAUCAAAUCCAAAAAAGUCAGUGCAACUCUCCAGCUUUAAUAUUUAACUUUAAAAAUGAUGUUGUUGAUCUAAGAUUUCCUGACAGCCAUGUUCUGAUCCUCAUUCAGCGCUGGCACUGAUAUUUUUUCAAAGUGUCGUCGCUGCCGAUCAGAGGCACAUCAAUGCUGUCAUUGAACAAUCCAGAGCUGAAGCUGCCGACCACCAGAGGCAAUGGAAGCAAAAAGUCAAUGUCCUUAAAAAGAAGAUUAUACAGUUGAACAGUGAGGAGAAUAAUGUUC